CGUGUGCGCGCGUGCCACACGGACGCACUGGUGACAGGAGGACAAAAGGAAAAGCUGGCGGACAGAGAGGGAAGUUCAGAAGUCUGUUAAGGGAAAACAAACCACAGAGGUCGGACGAAAGGAAAUGAAGAGGAUGAAAGUGGAUGAAGAACCCUGGAGGGUUGGAGAGAAUGGAGAAGGGAAAGGGAACUAUUUGGCACACUGGGGUCCUGAUUGCGUAAACAAGCUGUGGUCCCUUUCUCCACAUCUUUAUUGGCUCUACAGAUCUGAGACCAUCUCAUUUCCCUGUAUUUGUGUAACCCUUGACCCCUCCAGUGUGUUUACGCAUCACCCCAGAAUGUGUUUAUCAUCAGCACUGGGAGGUCGUGACGAUUCCGAGCUCAUACAGUUUAGCUUCCUGUUGGCCAUCACUGCUCGUUGGAAUAAAAACUGCUGCCCCCGGAUGUGGACCAUCACCUUACCCGACUCAAAAAUGGGUUCUGUGACUCUUUUGUUUCGUGACUCUUUUGUUUCGUGACUCUUUCAGGCCUGACCUCUGACCUUUUCCUGGUGCCGUCCUCACCCACGUCUGUACCCAUGGAGGAGACGAUUGAUACCGCUCUCAUGUGUGUCGGGGAAACAGUCCCCGGUUAGCUUAGCUUAGCAGGAAGACAAGAAAACAAGGGGGAAAAACAAUCCGUAUUCAUUUCCAGCUGAAGGCGGGAGAGGCCCGUGUGCCACCGCGCACUCUAAAGUGCAACCGUCCCAUCCUGGACCUGCCAGAAAAGAUCUGCCGCGAUCCGAUUCAGGACGUCAGCUCUUCUGUUGGUCACCUGUCCUCGGUGGUCCGAUGCGCGAGGGAGACCGGACCAUUGUGUCGGGUCACAAGGAGCCGGUUAGUGAGGACACGCACAAGGUCAUGGAGGAGGCUUUGUCAAGGGCCGGUGUGCAGCGCAUCAUCCUUUGCCACGAGGCGGGACUCAUCAUCCCAUCGCUGCAGGAGUCAAUGAGCCAGUUGACCCGUCACGGUGCUCACACACACACACUCACAGGACGUACAAUGUGAUGCUGUUUGUGCGUUGAGCUGAUGAUUACUCAUUGUAAGGCUUCGUACAAUGGACCCCCUCUCCCUCUCCCUCUCCCUCUCCCUCCCCCUCCCCCUCAUCAGAUUCCUUGUAAACAGACAAGCACACACACACAAACACAACCACACUUUUCUGUCUCGCUUGAUAAUGAUGUGCAAACGUUCCUGUUUUUGUUGUUCAUAUAUGACAUGUAUUGCACUUUCUUCCUUUUUGGAGUACUUCCUGUCCCGGUGAGAGGGACAAAGCCCUCUGAUGCAAAUUAGUUAUUUGGGGCUGAACAAAGUAAAUCAACAUGAAUCGAAUCGAAUGCAAGUAGAUGUGUCAUCACCCGUUGGUGCCUUUUUGUCAUCGUUGGCCAUCACUUGUGUGUCUCCUUUCUGCGGCGCUUGUUGUUCUUUUCAACAUCGCAUCCUUGCACGCACACACACACACACACACACACACACACACACACACACAGGCCCUCAGCUUUCGCCUGUUUAAACAACAAAGCAAUCCCAUCAUCCUCAGCUCCUUGAGCGACUGACCCGGCGCACCUCGGCUGUCACACACACACACACACACACAUACACACACACACACACACACAGGGGGAAAGAGGCUUAGUCUCACUGCCAGGUGUCAGGUGUCAGGGGGCUAUUGGACAAAAGUAGAAUAAAGAAAUCCAGGAUGAGUGAUAAAGCACCGCUUGACUUGGUGUGAUACUUUCUUGAGUGAACCACGGUGUCGAUCGCAGAUUUACUGAUGCGGAAACGGAGAAAACGCCGGACGCAGCACGUUUUUAACCCGCUGAGCGGCAACUAAUUAUGGAAAAUGAGGAAGCGAAGCAUAAAAUAUGCCAAAAAGGGAGUACGGCAGCUGUAAAUACACAGUGAGAAAAAGCCUGGCAGACAAUCGCGGACCGACUGAAUGCAAAAGGAUUUAAAAAUAUCUACUUACAGUUGUAGACUGUUUUAAUUGCUUUUGAUAUGUUUUUUUUAUGUGUUGGUUUUAUUGCUGUAUCUGUGUGUAUCUGUGUGUAUCUGGCAGGUCUUCCCGCUGCUGCCAUUCGGCCUCUGCAGCUCAUCCAGAACGCAGCAGCUCGAAGAAGAAGUACAGAUACUGGGGUUUAAAACGACUCCUGUAGACGUUGAAGCACCAACUCAAGCUUUUUACUUUAGUAAAAGUAUAAAAGUGCUGGUUUCAAAACUACUUAAAGUAUAAAAGUAAAAGUAAUGUAAGACAAACUCUUAAUGCGUAACUUCGCUCACACAACACGUCAGUCCGUCACAAUGUGAUCAGAAGGAGCCUGCAGAUCACGUGACCUGCCGUUGGGAUGGUGAAAACAACAACAACAACAAAUGUAUCUGACGUAAACAGAUAAAACCACAACCCAUGUUCCACACACACGUUGUUUGCAUUCAUGAGGUAGACUGCAGCGUCUCCCCCAGGUUCACUACGUCAUGUGGGGGGGGCGCCGCUGUUUAUAAUUCCACUGAACUGCCUUUUCUUUGGCAGGUUGAAUUUCUUCAGCUGCCUCAGGAAGAAAAGCCCCUGCUGAGCCGUCUUGGUGAUGGAGCCCAGAUGCAAAUACAAAUACAUUUCAAGGGAAACUCAUUCAUAUAUUCAAUUCUAAAUUGUCUUAUUUGAGGAAAUUGCACUUUCUUGUUUCCUGUUCUCCUGAGUUUGUACCCCUAUGGUUGAAUGCACUUAUUGUAAGUCGCUUUGGAUAAAGGCGUCUGCUAAAUGACAUGUAAUGUAAUGUAUUUGUUUUGGCUUGUUUUUCUCGUACCACAAACAUGUUCCAACCUAAUAAAACACUUUUAGUGUUUUAUUUCAAUAUACAGUGUUAAGCACCGUCUUCAAACUGUUUAAAACUUCCAGGCCGGGACAAGAUCACCGCCCUGUAGUUUGAAAAGCGCUUUUCUUUCUUUCUCGGCCACUCAAAGCACGUUUACACUGCAUUUUACAGUGUAAUUCACAAAGCAGACUAACAAAGUACAGGGGAAAGGUGAUUAGUGCGGGGCAAACAAUCAAUGAAAAGGGGGGGAAAAAACAUGACGCCUAGCGUUAACUUUCAAAAUAAUACACAGAUAAACACAAUACAAACACUGGAGACCAUUAAGAUUCAUUAAGUUUCAUUCACCUACCAAAAUACAGGUUACUUCUCUUUUGCUCCUUCAGAAUAAAGCUCUGCGAGGGUUUCCUGUGUGACCAUCGGAGUGCUCUGCUCGUCCUUUACUUCUACUCCCUGGAUGCACGACAAACACACACACACACACACACAGAAAAAACACACACAAGAGUGAUCUACAGCCAGACAGGAAGCCGCCCCCCCCUCCUCUGUUUCCAGUUUCCAGCAUGGAUGGAUGUGUGUGUGUGUGUGUGUGUGUGUGUGUGUGUGUGUGUGUGUGUGUGUGUGUCCAUGCUCGCUCUGUGCAGGCAAUCGGCUGGAGGCAGACUGAGCGACGCUGGAAGAGAAUGACACACACACAGGAGAAGAUAGUGGAGGUUAGAAGCAAUAUUACGGGAGGAGAAAAAACAUGCGCAAAAUAGUUUACAGGGCACGAAGGAAUAGAACAAAAAGAAGAGCUCGGCAUCCUGACUGGAACUACCAGGUGAAACCUCUUACCAAGCGGCCCUGGAAGCCACCAGCUGAUUGGAGCAAAAGGGGAAUGAAAGGCCGUGGAAGCCAGGAUGAGCCGGAUGAGCUGGGAGUAGCUGGAGGCGUGCAACUUGCAGAGUGUGUUCGAGUGUCUGCGUUUGCCGGGUUGUGCUGGUACUUGUUUGUGGUGGCGUUUUUGUUUCUGCUGUUGGACAGUAUGAUUUUGAGUUUGAACCUGAUGUGGAUGUUUAUUUAUUAUGAAAUAAAUCCCUCUUUUGGUUAAAAAUUCCUUCUUUUAUAGUUUAUUUUCCAUUUGUUACUCCCCGACUCCCCUAGACAUCCGUCGAGGGACAUAACAGCAACCGAACCUCGACGAAAGUUGCGUCCUAUUGUCGACAAACUGCUCCUGUCUGCUGUUGUUGUUGUUGUUGUCAGACAGCUGCAGCUGGUUUUACGGGGGAUCGUAAACGCGCUGAGACGUGCCUCCUCACUCCUCCCUCCUCCCUCCUCCCGCUGGUACGAGGUUUCCUCCCAGAGCUUCAACGUGUGGUUUUACCUGCACGUGAAAACUGCGUAGAAGUAUUUUCAGAUGCAUCAGCGGAACAGGGAGAAGCCUCGGCCUCGUGGGCUUUAUUCUGAACCAGGAUGAGCAGAAGAAAUGACCCCAUGUGAGACGUUUGCAAGGCGCAAACCCAAAGAAGUAGCAGCUGCACCCCCCCAACACCACCACCCCACCACCUCCUGCUCCGGACUGUGUGUGUGUAACCAGACUUGUGUAGUAAAGAUGAAAGCUCGGCACACAGUCGUCCAAACAGAGGCUACUUUCCAUUGCAUUUGCAUCCUCAGAUUUUCAUUGAUUUGCUUAAGGACCCGGCGGCAGCCGAGCACGCGGGACACACAAACGGCAAACUUUUUCAUUGUUCCU
Long non-coding RNA from Gasterosteus aculeatus aculeatus (three-spined stickleback), 4573 nucleotides. NCBI's taxonomy places the organism in Eukaryota, Metazoa, Chordata, Actinopteri, Perciformes, Gasterosteidae. The record is from Ensembl.